RNAcentral lists this unclassified non-coding RNA (3824 nucleotides) under Daphnia pulex (common water flea). RNAcentral describes it as "uncharacterized LOC124191978, transcript variant X1". Lineage: Eukaryota; Metazoa; Arthropoda; Branchiopoda; Diplostraca; Daphniidae. The record is from RNAcentral.
ACCUCUCUCUCUCUCUCCCUCUUCUUUUUUACUGUAAGGGCAUCAUCCCCAAAGUUACUCGGUGCGUGUUACGAGAAACACACAGAGACGAACGAAAAAAAGAGAGAGAGAGAGAGAGAAACACGACGAAAUAGAAAAAGCAGAGAACGAGCGCCCACCGACUUUAGUCUCUUGCGGUUGGUUGUCGGUUGCGGACCUCUCUCUCCCCACUUUUCGUCUCAGAUAUAACACAACAACAGCUAACGAAUUUCCUCAUCAUUCUUACUGAGACUUGUAAAAAAAAAACAAAGUUGGACUAGUUGAAACUUUUUGAUCCAGCGUCGACCUCUCUUCCCAUUCUUACUUCCAGUCGGUGGGGGGUGAACACUGAACAACCCUCUCUCCAUAUCGCCACUCGGGAUUAUUUUCAUUCAAAAAGACACAAGGAAAUUGACCAAACAAACGAGGGAGCAACCGAAUACAAACCACCCCCCAAACAAAUAAUCAAGGUCGGUGCUGCACAACUCAAUCGGACAAUGGCGCUCGUCGACAAUUUCCCUGGAAACCAUCAGCACGGAAGUUCCCGACUCAUGAUGAUCCAGGCUCGUUUCCAGCAGCGCCAGCAGGAGGAAAAAGAGCACAAGCUGUUCGCCAUGUUGGAAGAGCAGCACGACGCGGCCGCGGGAGAUGGGGGCGGCGGUCUCGGCUUGAUACCGGCCACUCGGACGCACAGCAAUGGCAGCAGCAACAGUCAGCAUAACAGUGCCAGCAGCACUGCCUCUCUGUCAUCCUCUAUGGGUUCUUCGCUCGCCUCCUCGCUAGGAUCUACCGGCAGUGGAAUGGCUGUACCAGGAGGUGGAAAGGUGCGGCAGAUGUUCGAAGACCGACGCAAUCAAAUUAACGGCCGGCCGCCCGUCUAUUCCAAGAAUGCCGAGAACCGCAAAAACAUACCUGUGACCACAAGGGGAUGGGACAGAUCGCAUCCACUGGAUCCUCUGCCUUCUAAUAACUCGCAUGACAGGAAUCUCAAGGUUCCUACCGGUCAUAGCCAGCAGCAGCAACGCAGCCGGGCACGUGGUGUUAGUCUGGAGCGUGGAGCUCACGCUUUCGGCGAUGGCCCUUCUGAUAGCAUCCGCCGGAGUAAGAGCCAAUACCAAGUGGACGACGUCCCAGGUGGGAUGAUCCGCAGUCCUAAUAAACGACCCACGCCGUCCGAUGGCCAGCAGUUGCUGAACGUGUCGGCCACUUUGAAACCCAAGAGCAUGACGUCUUUGUUGGACGACAAUCAGAACAACGUCAACAACCAUUCGACCAGCAACAAGACGAUUCCGAGAUUCGGAUACAAUCAGUCGCCCGUGCGAAACCCUUCCCAGCGCUACCAGCAGCAAAAUUACCGGGAAGAUGUCGUGGAUGGCGGAAAUUCAGGAAGAACAGUUGGCCAGCAUUAUCGAGGUAGAAGCCAGACCAACGAUGAAUAUCAAGCAGCUGAUCGGACGGAUGAAUCCUCGAGGCAAGCCGCCAGUCUGGCAGCGGCCGCGGUGGCCGCUGCUGCCGAAACGACCCGUCGUCUAGAGCGCGAAAAAGCGCAGAUUCAAGCGGAAGCCAAACGACGCGAAGAGGAGCUCAUGAACACUAUCAGACAACAACAACAACAACUCCAACGACUUCAGCAAGCUGCUAUGCUGGCUGAACAAAAAGCUAAAGCAGCAGCGGCGGCAACAGCAACAAAUUCACGGCCAACAAGGACCUCUUACCGACCACCGGAUGAGAGUGAUGAUUCGAAAUCAAGCGUUUCGGAUGACGCUGUCAUUUCUCCGCCUAGUUCCAGAGGCUGGAAUCCAACGUCCACUGCCAAAAAACCCACGGUAAAUCGUACCCAUGAAAUGAGUCCCCCACCGUCAGCACCGAAACCGAAAUUGGCACCGAAACCGGUGCUGGAAUCACCGACGCCAACCAAGAGCACUACAACUACAAUGCCUCGCAAAUCGAUUUUUGCGACCGGGCCGUCAGCCGGUGGUAAAGACGGCCUGGUAUCGUGUUCACUGUGCGGCCGCAAUUUCGCUUCGGACCGAAUAGAAAAACACGAAGGCAUUUGCGCCAAAACCAAGUCCAAGAAGCGCAAGGUCUUCGACAUCACCAAGAUGAGGGUCAAAGGCACAGAAGCCGAGAGCUUCGUCCUGGCUCCACCUGGUCGCAAUAACCAACAAAAUGCGCACACGACCAAUAACAAGAAGCCAAUUAGUGUUGGUCAGCACAUUUUGCAACAGCAACAGCAGGCGACAAAAAGUGCUAUUGCUCCGAGUGCCAAGGCAUUGGAGGAUGGCAAGAAAGCCGAUUGGCGCAAAAAGCACGAAUCUUUCAUCGAAGCUAUACGAGCUGCCAAAGCCAUGCAGAAGCAUCUCAAGGCAGGAGGGAAGGUGUCGGAUCUGCCUCCUCCACCGCCGUCUGAUACAAGUGACUACAUUACAUGUCCGUAUUGCCAGAGACGUUUCGCACCAGGAGCGGCGGACAGGCACAUUCCGAAAUGUUCGACCAUUUUAUCCAACAAAAAAACUGUCCGAAAGUAAAACGAUUUUGGGAGUUAGAAAGUGAAGGAGCCACUGAUUAGACGGAACUAACCGCAACGGCAGUCUAGCAAAAAAAAAAAAAAAGUGAAGUAAAAGCAACAAACCAUUAUGUAGCUGUAUGUAUGCGGUAUGCUUUGCCUAGCUACGGAUUUUCUGCAAGGAACGUAUACACAAUAUUCUCUACUAUUUCAUGAAAGCGUCGAUCGCACUAAAAUACAGGAUACAGCCAGCUCCUUCAAAAUAUGACUAACAAUUUAUUUUUAUUUUAAAAUUAAUGGAUACGAAAUACACUAACGGCCGUUACACAAGUGAAAACUUCAAAAUUAUUUGACACAAAUUAAAUCCAAAGUUGCUUCAAUGCGGAAUCGGGUGUUAUAUUGUCCAAUGCUUCCUGAACCAAUCGACAGACAUCACGCCCGACUUCUUCCAUAGUGGCAUCUACAACCUGAAAAAUAUAACAUUAAUCUAAUGGCUCAUGGCUGUCAAUAGGUGGCAGUCAAUAGGUGGCUGAAACUAUGUCCACCAGGUAGCGCGAGUGUGUUCAGCACUGACGCAGAUCGGCCAUUUUGUUUCAAGACGCAGUAGAGAUGGGUUGUUGGUCGUGACGUUUCUCACGAUGAAAAUUAAAAGGUUAUUUAGCUCGUAGAAACCAAUUUGCCAAAUCAUUCAACUCAGGCUUGGAAGUGCCCGUACCUUGCAGAAAUGGCGUGCCUCGUGUGUCUUGCUGCCUCUUCUUAGGCGUACGUCCAUGCAACAGCAAAAAGUAUAACUUAACUGCUUUAACGCUGUUGGUUACCUUGUUGCAGCCAAAUGGGGAAAGGUGUGAUGAAGACGGAUGGAACCAUUGCAUGCAGCAUGCGGUUGCUGUGAUAUUCAGAAGUAGCUGUGCUGGUGUUAUCCUGAAAUUGCUGUGCUGUUGUAGCUGAGCUGUUCCAUCUGGGUUCCUGACUUGAAAAUUUUUGUGUUGUUGUUUGCGUGCCAGUAUUUUGUGUUGUGACUUCAAAUAGUUUGAUCUGUCGUCUUUUGAGUUUUCAUUCAAUCAUGCAGUAUACGACUGAGGCAACCUGAUCAAUGUCAGGUUUGACACAGUCGACAACUGCUAGAUAAAACAAGCUUUCUGCGCCAAACAAAUAAUAAUUUGCAUAUAACUUGCAUCAUAUUAUUAUCGCGGUAGAGAAAGCGACAGGCCCCCCCCCCUGGGGGCCACAGGAAAAAUUUGAAUUCAAAUAUAAAUUUUGUAUCAACUUUGAUUAUGAAUAAACUUUGUAUAUAAUAAAA